UACUAGCCCCGUGUUUCUGAUUCAGUAUCACUGAAAUACUUUGGAACCAUAUAAAGGGCAAAGUACAUUCCACAUGUUGAAGGACAGUGCCUGGCCCUGUGGGGUGUCAUCCCCAAGCUGUAGGCAUAGUGGCAACCCAGGGGUUCAUCUCAACUCCCAUCAGAGUUCAAACAUUGAAUUAGUUGUGCAAUGGAAGGAGUAUUACCAGGACCCAGAUGCAGCCCAAGGAAAAAAGAAAACAAAAGGAGACACACACGAUUCUUCCCUUGACAUCACACCAGGAAAGUCUGACAACUUAACUUUAUUGGAUAUAGGCAACCGUUGAAUCCAAGUUUUGCCCAC
RNAcentral lists this long non-coding RNA (342 nucleotides) under Homo sapiens (human). RNAcentral's name for it is "HSALNT0101231". Lineage: Eukaryota; Metazoa; Chordata; Mammalia; Primates; Hominidae. The record is from RNAcentral.